Molecule: long non-coding RNA, 467 nt
Organism: Micropterus dolomieu (smallmouth bass)
Lineage: Eukaryota; Metazoa; Chordata; Actinopteri; Centrarchiformes; Centrarchidae
Exons: 3
Source: RefSeq, a predicted model, not a curated record
UUGUGUUUGACCCUUUCCUGUUUCCAUAAAUAAAUGGAUUUCUCAGUUCGGAAGUCUGCACAGAGCUCUGACCUCUGAUCCUACUAAUCCUUUGGGAUGAAUUGAACUGUUGACUGCGAGCCAGGCCUUAUCCAUUGCCGACCUCACUAAUGCUCUUAGGGCUGAAUGGAAGCAAAUUCCUGCAGUCAGGUUCCAGUCUUACAGAAGGAGAGGAGGCUGUUACAGAAGCAAAAUCAAAGUGCUUGAAAACAGACUUGAAAUUGGAGCUGUGUUUAUGUGUUUAUGAGGCCGCGGGGUACAAGGUGCUGUUUACAUAUGCAGGCGUGCCAUCUGGAUCCACUGCGGCAGAGUCAAGGCUGCUGAAGCACGCUCCCACAAUGCACCUCUUAAAAUUACUCUUCAAGAAAGGUCAUUGCUAACAUCGUCAUUAUCAACAUCAUCAUCAUCAUCAUCUCCUAAAUAAUCAU